CCUACGGGAGGCAGCAGUAGGGAAUCUUCCACAAUGGGCGAAAGCCUGAUGCAGCAACGCCGCGUGUGUGAAGAAGGUCUUCGGAUCGUAAAACCCUGUUGUUAGAGAAGAAAGUGCGUGAGAGUAACUGUUCACGUGUCGACGGUAUCUAACCAGAAAGCCACGGCUAACUACGUGCCAGCAGCCGCGGUAAUACGUAGGUGGCAAGCGUUAUCCGGAUUUAUUGGGCGUAAAGGGAACGCAGGCGGUCUUUUAAGUCUGAUGUGAAAGCCUUCGGCUUAACCGGGGUAGUGCAUUGGAAACUGGGAGACUUGAGUGCAGAAGAGGAGAGUGGAACUCCAUGUGUAGCGGUGAAAUGCGUAGAUAUAUGGAAGAACACCAGUGGCGAAGGCGGCUCUCUGGUCUGUAACUGACGCUGAGGUUCGAAAGCGUGGGUAGCAAACAGGAUUAGAUACCCGGGUAGUC
Molecule: ribosomal RNA, 465 nt
Filed under: uncultured bacterium
Lineage: Bacteria
Description: partial 16S ribosomal RNA
Rfam family: Bacterial small subunit ribosomal RNA
Source: RNAcentral